Long non-coding RNA from Apis florea (little honeybee), 696 nucleotides. The record is from RefSeq and is a predicted model, not a curated record. NCBI's taxonomy places the organism in Eukaryota, Metazoa, Arthropoda, Insecta, Hymenoptera, Apidae.
ACUUUCAUCGUCACUUUGUAACCAGAUAGAGAACACGGAAUAAAUUUAUCAAAGUGAAAUGGUUUCAGGUUAUAGUUUCAAUUUAAAUAGCAUUUUAAGUAAGUAACCGAAAAAAAGAAAGAAAUACUUUUGAAACAGGAAACAUAAAUUCGCGUAUGCACUUAAGGCAGGAACGUAGAUUCGUAAUUUUGAUUGCAUCAAGAAAAUUAUACGAUUUUUAUUUCGGUUGAUCGAGAAUCUCUGAUGCAACGUGAAAGUAUGGGCGAAACCGAGCAUCCAUAUUCCUUUAUUGGCCACGUCGAACGGUACUAAACAAUAAUAAUUCUCAAUCUCGAAGUGUACGAAUGUUUUAUAAUGAACUUUAUAUAACAAUAUUCGAAAGAAUAUAGGCAAGGAAAGAAACGAAGAUUAUUUUAAACGAAUUGAUAUCGAUCGAGAAGGGGGCACGGCAAUCAGAAAAUCCAUCAAAAAUCAAUCAAGGAAAUCGAAAAGGCCGAAAAUGGUGAAGGGAUCGCGUGCCAUGCGUCAUAAAAGCUGAAAAACAAGGAAAUGGUGCAUGAAUUUAAAAAAAAAAAAAAAUAGAAAGGUAAGCCGAUUGUGCACGGUUUCACGGAGAGAGAUCGUCGAUAAAUACGGAGCAGCAGUUUUGCAGCUUUCAAAAUAGGAUCCGAUGAAUCUUUUUCAUUCGAGCAUCAA